GGGAAUUUUCCGCAAUGGGCGAAAGCCUGACGGAGCAAUACCGCGUGAGGGAAGACUGCCUAUGGGUUGUAAACCUCUUUUUUCAGGGAGGAAUCAAUGACGUGUACCUGAAGAAUAAGCAUCGGCUAACUCCGUGCCAGCAGCCGCGGUAAGACGGAGGAUGCAAGUGUUAUCCGGAAUCACUGGGCGUAAAGCGUCUGUAGGUGGUUAAACAAGUCAACUGUUAAAUCUUGAGGCUCAACUUCAAAAUCGCAGUCGAAACUGUUUGACUAGAGUAUAGUAGGGGUAAAGGGAAUUUCCAGUGGAGCGGUGAAAUGCGUAGAUAUUGGAAAGAACACCGAUGGCGAAGGCACUUUACUGGGCUAUUACUGACACUCAGAGACGAAAGCUAGGGUAGCAAAUGGGAUUAGAUACCCCAGUAGUCA
This 425-nucleotide ribosomal RNA is filed under the name uncultured cyanobacterium. Its description in RNAcentral is "bacterial SSU rRNA". It matches the Rfam family "Bacterial small subunit ribosomal RNA", at positions 357 to 796 of the family's 1533-position model. Lineage: Bacteria; Bacillati; Cyanobacteriota. The record is from RNAcentral.